GAGAUAGUUUAUCAGUGCACAUGUCUGUGUCCCUGGAGAUAUUCAUUGUGGGAUAAAGUGUGCCAGUGUCUGCGUAUGGAGGAGGAAUGCAACAGCCCAGGUGUGGUGAUCCAGGGAUCUUUAGCGGUGUUCAUGAUCGCCUUGGCCAUCCUCAAUGUGUGUUCUCUCACUGCCCUCCUGCUUGUAGCAGCUUUUUUCUGGUGCAGAGACUGGUGGAAAAAGCUAAAUGGAAAGAAAGCAAAAGCAGCUGCUUCUAUC
This is a long non-coding RNA of Gavialis gangeticus (Gharial), 258 nucleotides long. RefSeq lists it as uncharacterized. The transcript is spliced from 3 exons. Lineage: Eukaryota; Metazoa; Chordata; Crocodylia; Gavialidae. The record is from RefSeq and is a predicted model, not a curated record.